This 327-nucleotide ribosomal RNA is filed under the name uncultured eukaryote. RNAcentral's name for it is "partial 18S ribosomal RNA". It matches the Rfam family "Eukaryotic small subunit ribosomal RNA", at positions 1470 to 1796 of the family's 1831-position model. The record is from RNAcentral.
CCCUUAGAUGUUCUGGGCCGCACGCGCGCUACACUGAUGAAUGCAACGAGCUCUACCCUUGACCGAAAGGCCCGGGUAAACUUGUGAAACUUCAUCGUGAUGGGGAUAGAUUAUUGCAAUUAUUAAUCUUCAACGAGGAAUUCCUAGUAAGCGCGAGUCAUCAGCUCGCGUUGAUUACGUCCCUGCCCUUUGUACACACCGCCCGUCGCUCCUACCGAUUGAAUGGUCCGGUGAAAUCUUCGGAUUGCUGACCAAGAUCCAGCAAUGGAGCUUGGUUGCGAGAAGUUGAUUAAACCUGAUUAUUUAGAGGAAGGAGAAGUCGUAACA